This 312-nucleotide small nuclear RNA is filed under the name Erinaceus europaeus (western European hedgehog). RNAcentral's name for it is "7SK RNA". It matches the Rfam family "7SK RNA". From Rfam's summary of the family: 7SK was discovered as an abundant small nuclear RNA in the mid-70s but a possible function has only recently been suggested. Two independent studies have found that 7SK RNA binds the CDK9/cyclin T complex (known as elongation factor P-TEFb). P-TEFb activates transcription by phosphorylating the C-terminal domain of RNA polymerase II. The record is from Rfam by way of RNAcentral. Lineage: Eukaryota; Metazoa; Chordata; Mammalia; Eulipotyphla; Erinaceidae.
GGAUGUGAGGGCAAUCUGACUGCAACAUCUAUCACCCCUCUGAUUGCUAGGGUUGAUUCAGCUGAUCUGGCUGGUUAGAGGCAGGUGUCCCCUUCCUCCCUUACUGCUCCAUGCGCUUCUCUACUGAAGCUGCAUGCUCGGUGAAAGAGGACGACCUUACCCGAACAGAUAUGGACUGGGUCUUUGGUCAAGGGUAGACAGGAAACUGUGCUCCCCUGCUAGAACCUCCAAACAUGCUCUCAAGAAUGUCAUUAUAGACCACAGAAUGCCAGCUCAGAUCUACAGGGGUGCAUAGGUAAUAUAGGACUCUGU